This 615-nucleotide ribosomal RNA is filed under the name uncultured bacterium. RNAcentral's name for it is "bacterial SSU rRNA". The stretch from base 1 to 523 matches the Rfam family "Bacterial small subunit ribosomal RNA", at positions 338 to 873 of the family's 1533-position model. The record is from RNAcentral.
CCUACGGGAGGCAGCAGUGGGGAAUAUUGGACAAUGGGCGAAAGCCUGAUCCAGCAAUGCCGCGUGAGUGAUGAAGGCCUUAGGGUCGUAAAGCUCUUUUACCCGGGAUGAUAAUGACAGUACCGGGAGAAUAAGCCCCGGCUAACUCCGUGCCAGCAGCCGCGGUAAUACGGAGGGGGCUAGCGUUGUUCGGAAUUACUGGGCGUAAAGCGUGCGUAGGCGGUUAUUCAAGUCAGAGGUGAAAGCCCGGGGCUCAACCCCGGAACGGCCUUUGAAACUAGGUAGCUAGAAUCUUGGAGAGGUCAGUGGAAUUCCGAGUGUAGAGGUGAAAUUCGUAGAUAUUCGGAAGAACACCAGUGGCGAAGGCGACUGACUGGACAAGUAUUGACGCUGAGGCACGAAAGCGUGGGGAGCAAACAGGAUUAGAUACCCUGGUAGUCCACGCCGUAAACGAUGAUAACUAGCUGUUCGGGUACUUGGUAUCUGUAGUGGCGCGAGCGUACGACACUUAAGUUAUACCGUCCGUCGGGUAGGUACGGUCGGUCGAGAAGUUAAACGUAACAAGGAAGUAGUACGGACGUGAGACGUGCCGACGGACGACGACGAGGGAGUAGG